CAGCCGCCGCGGUAAUACGAACCGUGCGAACGUUAUUCGGAAUCACUGGGCUUAAAGCGCGUGUAGGCGGAUAGGGACGUCGGUUGUUGAAAGCCCCCGGCUCAACCGGGGAACUGGCACCGAAACGCCCUGUCUCGAGGGACGCAGGGGGACCUGGAACUUCCGGUGGAGCGGUGAAAUGCGUUGAGAUCGGAAGGAACGCCCGUGGCGAAAGCGAGGUCCUGGACGUCUACUGACGCUGAGACGCGAAAGCUAGGGGAGCGAACGGGAUUAGAUACCCCUGUAGUCCCUGUCUCUUUAC
Molecule: ribosomal RNA, 301 nt
Filed under: uncultured bacterium
Lineage: Bacteria
Description: partial 16S ribosomal RNA
Rfam family: Bacterial small subunit ribosomal RNA
Source: RNAcentral